Molecule: ribosomal RNA, 397 nt
Filed under: uncultured bacterium
Lineage: Bacteria
Description: partial 16S ribosomal RNA
Rfam family: Bacterial small subunit ribosomal RNA
Source: RNAcentral
AUACGUAGGUGACAAGCGUUAUCCGGAUUUACUGGGCGUAAAGGGCGUGUAGGCGGUCUUGCAAGUCAGAAGUGAAAUUCCUGAGCUCAACUCGGGCGCUGCUUCUGAAACUGCGGGACUUGAGUGCUGGAGGGGAUAGCGGAAUUCCUAGUGGAGCGGUAAAAUGCGCAGAUAUUAGGAAGAACACCGGUGGCGAAGGCGGCUUACUGGACGACAACUGACGCUGAGGCGCGAAAGUGUGGGGAGCAAACAGGAUUAGAUACCCUGGUAGUCCACACCGUAAACGAUGGAUACUAGGUGUAGGAGGUAUCGACCCCUUCUGUGCCGGAGUUAACACAAUAAGUAUCCCACCUGGGGAGUACGGCCGCAAGGCUGAAACUCAAAUGAAUUGGCGGGG